UACAGAGGUCCCAAGCGUUGUUCGGAUUCACUGGGCGUAAAGGGUGCGUAGGUGGUGGGGUAAGUCGGAUGUGGAAGCUCGGAGCUCAACUCCGAAAUGGCAUUGGAAACUACCCUGCUAGAGGGUCGGAGGGGGGACUGGAAUUCUCGGUGUAGCAGUGAAAUGCGUAGAUAUCGAGAGGAACACCAGUGGCGAAGGCGAGUCCCUGGACGACUCCUGACACUGAGGCACGAAAGCUAGGGGAGCAAACAGG
RNAcentral lists this ribosomal RNA (253 nucleotides) under uncultured bacterium. Its description in RNAcentral is "partial 16S ribosomal RNA". It matches the Rfam family "Bacterial small subunit ribosomal RNA", at positions 524 to 776 of the family's 1533-position model. The record is from RNAcentral.